RNAcentral lists this ribosomal RNA (1479 nucleotides) under Pelagibacteraceae bacterium GOM-A3. RNAcentral describes it as "bacterial SSU rRNA". It matches the Rfam family "Bacterial small subunit ribosomal RNA". Lineage: Bacteria; Pseudomonadati; Pseudomonadota; Alphaproteobacteria; Candidatus Pelagibacterales; Candidatus Pelagibacteraceae. The record is from RNAcentral.
UUAAACUUGAGAGUUUGAUCAUGGCUCAGAACGUACGCUGGCGGCACGCCUUAUACAUGCAAGUCGAACGAAGUAGAAAUACUUAGUGGCAGACGGGUGAGUAACAUGUAGGAAUCUUCCCUUUGGUGAGGAAUAACACGAGGAAACUUGUGCUAAUACCUCAUAAGUCUUUACGGAGAAAGCUUUAUGCGCCAAAGGAUGAGCCUGCACUUGAUUAGUUUGUUGGUGGGGUAAUGGCCUACCAAGACUGUGAUCUAUAGCUGAUCUGAGAGGAUGAUCAGCCACAUUGGGACUGAGACACGGCCCAAACUCCUACGGGAGGCAGCAGUAGGGAAUAUUGCACAAUGGAGGAAACUCUGAUGCAGCGAUGCCGCGUGAGUGAAGAAGGCCUUUGGGUUGUAAAGCUCUUUCGUCGGGGAAGAAAAUGACUGUACCCGAAUAAGAAGGUCCGGCUAACUUCGUGCCAGCAGCCGCGGUAAUACGAAGGGACCUAGCGUAGUUCGGAAUUACUGGGCUUAAAGAGUUCGUAGGUGGUUAAAAAAGUUGGUGGUGAAAUCCCAGAGCUUAACUCUGGAACUGCCAUCAAAACUUUUUAGCUAGAGUAUGAUAGAGGAAAGCAGAAUUUCUAGUGUAGAGGUGAAAUUCGUAGAUAUUAGAAAGAAUACCAAUUGCGAAGGCAGCUUUCUGGAUCAUUACUGACGCUGAGGAACGAAAGCAUGGGUAGCGAAGAGGAUUAGAUACCCUCGUAGUCCAUGCCGUAAACGAUGUGUGUUAGACGUUGGAAAUUUAUUUUCAGUGUCGCAGCGAAAGCAUUAAACACACCGCCUGGGGAGUACGACCGCAAGGUUAAAACUCAAAUGAAUUGACGGGGACCCGCACAAGUAGUGGAGCAUGUGGUUUAAUUCGAAGAUACGCGCAGAACCUUACCAACACUUGACAUGUUCGUCGCGACUCUAAGAGAUUAGAGUUUUCGGUUCGGCCGGACGAAACACAGGUGCUGCAUGGCUGUCGUCAGCUCGUGUCGUGAGAUGUUGGGUUAAGUCCCGCAACGAGCGCAACCCUCACUUUUAGUUGCCAUCAUUUAGUUGGGCACUCUGAAAGAACUGCCAGUGAUAAGCUGGAGGAAGGUGGGGAUGACGUCAAGUCCUCAUGGCCCUUACGUGUUGGGCUACACACGUGCUACAAUGGCAUUUACAAUAGGAAGCAAGGUGGCGACAUCAAGCAAAUCCUAAAAAAAUGCCUCAGUUCGGAUUGUACUCUGCAACUCGAGUACAUGAAGCUGGAAUUACUAGUAAUCGCGGAUCAGCGCGCCGCGGUGAAUACGUUCCCGGGUCUUGUACACACCGCCCGUCACACCAUGGGAGUUGGUUCUACCUUAAGGCAAGGUUUAAAACCCUUGACUACGGUAUAGUCAGCGACUGGGGUGAAGUCGUAACAAGGUAGCCGUAGGGGAACCUGCGGCUGGAUUACCUCCUUUCU